Molecule: long non-coding RNA, 249 nt
Filed under: Solanum tuberosum (potato)
Lineage: Eukaryota; Viridiplantae; Streptophyta; Magnoliopsida; Solanales; Solanaceae
Description: long non-coding RNA (STUB_LNC011049)
Source: RNAcentral
UCAGGGUAUCCAAUUGGACACCCUUCGUCGGAAAAAAAUACAGUAUAUUCAAGUAAAAUGAUACACGAAAUGAUUAAAUAAUAUAUUUUGGACACCCUUAACAUAACAAGUUGUUAUAGCCCAGUGGUUUCACCUCCUUGGAACGAGGAAGUGCUCGUAUGUUCGAAUCUCACUAGUUCUACUUUUUGAAAAGAGCUUUUGUUGUGCUAUUUAUGGACACACUUUGUGAAAUUCCUGGCUCCGCCACUG